GGAGGUAUAGCUCAGUGGUAGAGUGUGUGCUUAGCAUGCACAAGGUCCUGGGUUCAAUCCCCAGUACCUCCA
Transfer RNA from Camelus ferus (Wild Bactrian camel), 72 nucleotides. It matches the Rfam family "tRNA". From Rfam's summary of the family: Transfer RNA (tRNA) molecules are approximately 80 nucleotides in length. The record is from Rfam. NCBI's taxonomy places the organism in Eukaryota, Metazoa, Chordata, Mammalia, Artiodactyla, Camelidae.